This 301-nucleotide ribosomal RNA is filed under the name uncultured bacterium. RNAcentral's name for it is "partial 16S ribosomal RNA". It matches the Rfam family "Bacterial small subunit ribosomal RNA", at positions 509 to 808 of the family's 1533-position model. The record is from RNAcentral.
CAGCAGCCGCGGGAAUACAGAGGGUGCAAGCGUUAAUCGGAAUUACUGGGCGUAAAGCGCGCGUAGGUGGUUUGUUAAGUUGGAUGUGAAAUCACCGGGCUCAACCUGGGAACUGCAUCCAAAACUGGCAAGCUAGAGUAUGGUAGAGGGUGGUGGAAUUUCCUGUGUAGCGGUGAAAUGCGUAGAUAUAGGAAGGAACACCAGUGGCGAAGGCGACCACCUGGACUGAUACUGACACUGAGGUGCGAAAGCGUGGGGAGCAAACAGGAUUAGAUACCCCGGUAGUCCCUGUCUCUAUACA